This 260-nucleotide ribosomal RNA is filed under the name uncultured soil bacterium. RNAcentral's name for it is "partial 16S ribosomal RNA". It matches the Rfam family "Bacterial small subunit ribosomal RNA", at positions 26 to 287 of the family's 1533-position model. The record is from RNAcentral.
AGAUUGAACGCUGGCGGCAGGCCUAACACAUGCAAGUCGAGCGGUAGAGAGGUGCUUGCACCUCUUGAGAGCGGCGGAUGGGUGAGUAAAGCCUAGGAAUCUGCCUGGUAGUGGGGGAUAACGCUCGGAAACGGACGCUAAUACCGCAUACGUCCUACGGGAGAAAGCAGGGGACCUUCGGGCCUUGCGCUAUCAGAUGAGCCUAGGUCGGAUUAGCUAGUUGGUGAGGUAAUGGCUCCACCAAGGCGACGAUCCGUAAC